UACGUAGGGGGCAAGCGUUAUCCGGAUUUACUGGGUGUAAAGGGAGCGUAGACGGCUGUGCAAGCCAGAUGUGAAAGCCCGGGGCUCAACCCCGGGACUGCACUUGGAACUGCGUGGCUUGAGUGUCGGAGAGGCAGGCGGAAUUCCUAGUGUAGCGGUGAAAUGCGUAGAUAUUAGGAGGAACACCAGUGGCGAAGGCGGCCUGCUGGACGAUGACUGACGUUGAGGCUCGAAAGCGUGGGGAGCAAACAGG
Molecule: ribosomal RNA, 253 nt
Filed under: uncultured bacterium
Lineage: Bacteria
Description: partial 16S ribosomal RNA
Rfam family: Bacterial small subunit ribosomal RNA
Source: RNAcentral